CCUGGAGUUAGCUCAGUUGGUUAGAGCGUGGUGCUGAUAAUGCCAAGGUUGCGGGUUCAGUCCCCAUACAGGC
This is a non-coding RNA of Podarcis lilfordi (Lilford's wall lizard), 73 nucleotides long. The record is from the annotation of a GenBank genome assembly. NCBI's taxonomy places the organism in Eukaryota, Metazoa, Chordata, Lepidosauria, Squamata, Lacertidae.